This 208-nucleotide ribosomal RNA is filed under the name uncultured bacterium. RNAcentral describes it as "partial 16S ribosomal RNA". It matches the Rfam family "Bacterial small subunit ribosomal RNA", at positions 524 to 730 of the family's 1533-position model. The record is from RNAcentral.
UACGUAGGGCGCAAGCGUUAUCCGGAAUUAUUGGGCGUAAAGAGCUCGUAGGCGGUUUGUCGCGUCUGCCGUGAAAGUCCGGGGCUCAACUCCGGAUCUGCGGUGGGUACGGGCAGACUAGAGUGAUGUAGGGGAGACUGGAAUUCCUGGUGUAGCGGUGAAAUGCGCAGACUAUCAGGAGGAACACCGAUGGCGAAGGCAGGUCUCU